Molecule: ribosomal RNA, 709 nt
Filed under: Acarospora umbilicata
Lineage: Eukaryota; Fungi; Ascomycota; Lecanoromycetes; Acarosporales; Acarosporaceae
Description: SSU rRNA
Rfam family: Bacterial small subunit ribosomal RNA
Source: RNAcentral
AAUGUAUAGCGAAAGCUAGUUGUAUUAUUAGUUAAUGCAAGAUCGACUAGCGACUAAAGUUCUAGGUAGAAUAAUGAUGAUGACAAUUUUUUACCUAUAUGUCUUGACCAAGUCUCGUGCCAGCAGUCGCGGUAAUACGUGGAAGACUAGUGUUAUUCAUCUUUAUUAGGUUUAAAGGGUACCUAGACGGUAUUUCUAGCCCAAAAUAGGGUACGGAUUUACUAGAGUUUUAUGUGAGGAGGGGAGUACUCGUAGAGUAGAGAUGAAAUUUUGUUAUACUAUGAGGUAACUGGUGGCGGCGAAAGCAACCUUCUAUGUAUAAACUGACGUUGAGGGACGAAGGCUUGGGUAGCAAAUAGGAUUAGAUACCCUAGUAGUCCAAGCAGACAAUUCUGAAUGCCAUAGAUUAGAUUAUUUUUGGUCUAUAAAUGAAAGUGUAAGCAUUCCACCUUAGGAGUAAUGUGGCAACACAGGAACUGAAAUCAUUAGACCGUUUCUGAAACCAGUAGUGAAGUAUGUUAUUUAAAUUGAUGGUCCACAAAAAACCUUACCACAACUUGAAUAUUUUUAAUUAAUACAAGCGUUGCACGGCUGUCUUCAGUUAAUGUCGUGAGAUUUUGGUUAACUCCAUUAAUUAACGUAAACCCUUACUUUAUUUUUUAUUUUUUUUAUAAAGUAGAUCGCCUAUAUAUUGGAUAUGAUAAGAGGG